GUCGAACGGGCUCAUAUUGAAACCUAGUGAUGUAUGAGUUAGUGGCGGACGGCUCGAGUAACGCGUGGAGAACCUGCCGUAUACUGGGGGAUAACACUUACAAAUAGGUGCUAAUACCGCAUAAGCGCACAGCUUCGCAUGAAGCAGUGUGAAAAACUCCGGUGGUAUACGAUGGAUCCGCGUCUGAUUAGCUGGUUGGCGGGGUAACAGCCCACCAAGGCGACGAUCAGUAGCUGGCCUGAGAGGGUGAACGGCCACAUUGGGACUGAGACACGGCCCAAACUCCUACGGGAGGCAGCAGUGGGGAAUAUUGCACAAUGGGGGAAACCCUGAUGCAGCGACGCCGCGUGAGUGAAGAAGUAUUUCGGUAUGUAAAGCUCUAUCAGCAGGGAAGAAAAUGACGGUACCUGACUAAGAAGCCCCGGCUAACUACGUGCCAGCAGCCGCGGUAAUACGUAGGGGGCAAGCGUUAUCCGGAUUUACUGGGUGUAAAGGGAGCGUAGACGGCAGCGCAAGUCUGAAGUGAAAUCCCAUGGCUUAACCAUGGAACUGCUUUGGAAACUGUGCAGCUGGAGUGCAGGAGAGGUAAGCGGAAUUCCUAGUGUAGCGGUGAAAUGCGUAGAUAUUAGGAGGAACACCAGUGGCGAAGGCGGCUUACUGGACUGUAACUGACGUUGAGGCUCGAAAGCGUGGGGAGCAAACAGGAUUAGAUACCCUGGUAGUCCACGCCGUAAACGGUGAUUACUAGGUGUUGGGGGACCAAGGUCCUUCGGUGCCGGCGCAAACGCAUUA
This 792-nucleotide ribosomal RNA is filed under the name uncultured bacterium. RNAcentral's name for it is "bacterial SSU rRNA". It matches the Rfam family "Bacterial small subunit ribosomal RNA", at positions 61 to 862 of the family's 1533-position model. The record is from RNAcentral.